This 484-nucleotide ribosomal RNA is filed under the name uncultured organism. RNAcentral describes it as "bacterial SSU rRNA". It matches the Rfam family "Bacterial small subunit ribosomal RNA", at positions 30 to 507 of the family's 1533-position model. The record is from RNAcentral.
AUUGAACGCUGGCGGCAGGCCUAACACAUGCAAGUCGAGCGGAUGAAAGGGGCUUGCUCCUGGAUUCAGCGGCGGACGGGUGAGUAAUGCGCAGGAAUCUACCUAGUAGUGGGGGAUAACGUUUCGAAAGGAACGCUAAUACCGCAUACGUUCUGAGGAAGAAAGCAGGGGAUCGUAAGACCUUGCGCUAUUAGAUGAGCUUGCGUCCGAUUAGCUAGUUGGUGGGGUAAAGGCCUACCAAGGCGACGAUCGGUAACUGGUCUGAGAGGAUGAUCAGUCACACUGGAACUGAGACACGGUCCAGACUCCUACGGGAGGCAGCAGUGGGGAAUAUUGGACAAUGGGGGCAACCCUGAUCCAGCCAUGCCGCGUGUGUGAAGAAGGCCUUCGGGUUGUAAAGCACUUUAAGCGGGGAGGAAGGCCUGAUGGCUAAUAUCCAUCGGGAUUGACGUUACCCGCAGAAUAAGCACCGGCAAACUUCGUG